RNAcentral lists this long non-coding RNA (1480 nucleotides) under Salmo salar (Atlantic salmon). RNAcentral's name for it is "lncRNA (ENSSSAG00000089408.1)". The record is from RNAcentral. Lineage: Eukaryota; Metazoa; Chordata; Actinopteri; Salmoniformes; Salmonidae.
GCCGAACAGUGGCACGACUGAAAUGAUGUCCCUGUGUUCUGUUUAAUCAUGUCACAUGACCUGGCUUUGUAACCUUUUUAUUUAAAGCUUUUUCAUCAAACUGUCUCCUUUUAUGUCAGGUGGUCCAGCACCAUCUUCUGGCACCAUGCUCCGGCACCUUCCCCCGGCACCAUCCCCCAGCACCAUCCCUCCAGUACCAUCCCUCCAGUACCAUCCCCCAGUACCAUCCCUCCUGUACCAUCCCUCCAGUACCAUCCCCCAGUACCAUCCCCCAGUACCAUCCCUCCAGUACCAUCCCCCAGUACCAUCCCCCAGUACCAUCCCUCCAGUACCAUCCCUCCAGUACCAUCCCUCCAGUACCAUCCUCCAGUACCACCCCUCCAGUACCAUCCCUCCAGUACCAUCUUCCAGUACCAUCCCUCCAGUACCAUCCCUCCAGCACCAUACCCCAGUACCAUCCUCCAGUACCAUCCCUCCAGUACCAUCCUCCAGUACCAUCCCUCCAGUACCAUCCUCCAGUACCAUCCCUCCAGUACCAUCCUCCAGUACCAUCCCCGGUACCAUCCCCGGUACCAUCCCUCCAGUACCAUCCCUCCAGUACCAUCCCCGGUACCAUCCCCCAGUACCAUCCUCCAGUACCAUCCCCGGUACCAUCCUCCAGUACCAUCCUCCAGUACCAUCCCUCCAGUACCAUCCUCCAGUACCAUCCCCGGUACCAACCCCGGUACCAUCCUCCAGUACCAUCCUCCAGUACCAUCCCUCCAGUACCAUCCUCCAGUACCAUCCCCGGUACCAACCCCGGUACCAUCCUCCAGUAUCAACCCCGGUACCAUCCUCCAGUACCACCCCUCCAGUACCAUCCCUCCAGUACCAUCCCUCCAGUACCAUCCUCCAGUACCAUCCCCCCAGUACCAUCCUCCAGUACCAUCCCCCCAGUACCAUCCCCGGUACCAUCCUCCAGUACCACCCCUCCAGUACCAUCCCUCCAGUACCAUCCCUCCAGUACCAUCCCCCAGUACCAUCCCCCAGUACCAUCCCUCCAGUACCAUCCCUCCAGUACCAUCCCUCCAGUACCAUCCUCCAGUACCAUCCUCCAGUACCAUCCCUCCAGUACCAUCCCCCAGUACCAUCCCCGGUACCAUCCUCCAUACCAUCCCUCCAGUACCAUCCCCCAGUACCAUCCCCCCAGUACCAUCCCCCGGUACCAUCCUCCAGUACCAUCCCUCCAGUACCAUCCCCCAGUACCAUCCCCGGUACCAUCCUCCAGUACCAUCCCCCAGUACCAUCCCCCCAGUACCAUCCCCCGGUACCAUCCUCCAGUACCAUCCCCCCAGUACCAUCCUCCGGUACCAUCCUCCAGUACCAUACCCCAGUACCAUCCUCCAGUACCAUCCCUCCAGUACCAUCCUCCAGUACCAUCCCCCCAGUACCAUCCUCCAGUACCAUCCUCCAGUACCAUCCCUCCAGUACCAUCCCUCCA